CUUGGCGGCCAUAGCGCGGUGGUCCCACCUGAUCCCAUGCCGAACUCAGAAGUGAAACGCCGUAG
RNAcentral lists this ribosomal RNA (65 nucleotides) under Proteus mirabilis. Lineage: Bacteria; Pseudomonadati; Pseudomonadota; Gammaproteobacteria; Enterobacterales; Morganellaceae. The record is from RNAcentral.